CAGACGGGUGCGUAACGCGUAUGAAACUUACCCUUUACAGGGGGAUAGCCUUGGGAAACUGAGAGUAAUACCCCAUAGUAUUAUUGAAUGGCAUCAUUUGAUAAUUAAAGCUCAGGCGGUAAAGGAUAGUCGUGCGUCCGAUUAGCUAGUUGGUGAGGUAAUGGCUCACCAAGGCGACGAUCGGUAGCUGGUCUGAGAGGAUGAUCAGCCACACGGACACUGAGACACGGGUCCGACUCCUACGGGAGGCAGCAGUAAGGAAUAUUGGACAAUGGAGGCAACUCUGAUCCAGCCAUCCCGCGUGCAGGAAUAAUGCCCUAUGGGUUGUAAACUGCUUUAGCUAGGGAAUAAAUCUUGUGAUUCAUCAUAAGUUGAAGGUACCUAGAGAAUAAGCACCGGCUAACUCCGUGCCAGCAGCCGCGGUAAUACGGAGGGUGCAAGCGUUAUCCGGAUUUACUGGGUUUAAAGGGUGCGUAGGCUGAUUUUUAAGUCAGAUGUGAAAGCUUGCAGCUUAACUGUAAGAUUGCGUUUGAUACUGGAAGUCUUGAAUAUGGUGGAAGUAGGCGGAACGAAUCAUGUAGCGGUGAAAUGCAUAGAUAUGAUUCGGAACACCGAUUGCGAAGGCAGCUUGCUAUACCAUUAUUGACGCUGAGGCACGAAAGCGUGGGGAUCAAACAGGAUUAGAUACCCUGGUAGUCCACGCCCUAAACGAUGAAUACUCGAUGUAUGCGAUAUACUGUAUGCGUCUAAGCGAAAGCGUUAAGUAUUCCACCUGGGGAGUACGUCCGCAAGGAUGAAACUCAAAGAAAUUGGCGGGGGUCCGCACAAGCGGUGGAUUAUGUGGUUUAAUUCGAUG
Molecule: ribosomal RNA, 856 nt
Filed under: uncultured microorganism
Description: bacterial SSU rRNA
Rfam family: Bacterial small subunit ribosomal RNA
Source: RNAcentral